Molecule: ribosomal RNA, 301 nt
Filed under: uncultured bacterium
Lineage: Bacteria
Description: partial 16S ribosomal RNA
Rfam family: Bacterial small subunit ribosomal RNA
Source: RNAcentral
CAGCCGCCACGGUAAUACGAAGGGGGCUAGCGUUGUUCGGAUUUACUGGGCGUAAAGCGCACGUAGGCGGAUCGAUCAGUCAGGGGUGAAAUCCCAGAGCUCAACUCUGGAACUGCCUUUGAUACUGUCGAUCUGGAGUAUGGAAGAGGUGAGUGGAAUUCCGAGUGUAGGGGUGAAAUUCGUAGAUAUUCGAAGGAACACCAGUGGCGAAGGCGGCUCACUGGUCCAUUACUGACGCUGAGGUGCGAAAGCGUGGGGAGCAAACAGGAUUAGAUACCCCCGUAGUCCCUGUCUCUUAUAC